Molecule: long non-coding RNA, 180 nt
Organism: Dioscorea cayenensis subsp. rotundata (Guinea yam)
Lineage: Eukaryota; Viridiplantae; Streptophyta; Magnoliopsida; Dioscoreales; Dioscoreaceae
Exons: 3
Source: RefSeq, a predicted model, not a curated record
GAGUCAAGUGAAGAAUGCCGUAGGUGACAUAAGCGACUUAAAAAAUCAAUUUCAGAUUAUGAUGAGUUUCAUGAUGGAGAAAUUUGGAUCAAAUAUUCCUCCACCAACAAAGGAAGAUCUUGGAGGCAAGAAGAGAGCAACAAAAAAAACUCAAGGAAGACAAUGGCCAAGAAGAGGGAA